UGUCAGUUGCAAGGAUAACGUGUUGACCUCU
RNAcentral lists this non-coding RNA (31 nucleotides) under Mus musculus (house mouse). Lineage: Eukaryota; Metazoa; Chordata; Mammalia; Rodentia; Muridae. The record is from RNAcentral.